UACGUAGGGUGCAAGCGUUGUCCGGAAUUAUUGGGCGUAAAGAGCUCGUAGGCGGUCUGUCGCGUCGGUCGUGAAAACUUGGGGCUUAACCCUGAGCUUGCGGUCGAUACGGGCAUGACUGGAGUUCGGCAGGGGAGACUGGAAUUCCUGGUGUAGCGGUGAAAUGCGCAGAUAUCAGGAGGAACACCGGUGGCGAAGGCGGGUCUCUGGGCCGAAAUUGACGCUGAGGAGCGAAAGCGUGGGGAGCAAACAGG
This 254-nucleotide ribosomal RNA is filed under the name uncultured bacterium. RNAcentral describes it as "partial 16S ribosomal RNA". It matches the Rfam family "Bacterial small subunit ribosomal RNA", at positions 524 to 776 of the family's 1533-position model. The record is from RNAcentral.